This 464-nucleotide ribosomal RNA is filed under the name uncultured bacterium. Its description in RNAcentral is "partial 16S ribosomal RNA". It matches the Rfam family "Bacterial small subunit ribosomal RNA", at positions 339 to 795 of the family's 1533-position model. The record is from RNAcentral.
CUACGGGGUGCUCCAGUGGGGAAUAUUGCACAAUGGGCGCAAGCCUGAUGCAGCCAUGCCGCGUGUAUGAAGAAGGCCUUCGGGUUGUAAAGUACUUUCAGCGGGGAGGAAGGGAGUAAAGUUAAUACCUUUGCUCAUUGACGUUACCCGCAGAAGAAGCACCGGCUAACUCCGUGCCAGCAGCCGCGGUAAUACGGAGGGUGCAAGCGUUAAUCGGAAUUACUGGGCGUAAAGCGCACGCAGGCGGGUUGUUAAGUCAGAUGUGAAAUCCCCGGGCUCAACCUGGGAACUGCAUCUGAUACUGGCAAGCUUGAGGCUCGUAGAGGGGGGUAGAAUUCCAGGUGUAGCGGUGAAAUGCGUAGAGAUCUGGAGGAAUACCGGUGGCGAAGGCGGCCCCCUGGACGAAGACUGACGCUCAGGUGCGAAAGCGUGGGGAGCAAACAGGAUUAGAUACCCCAGUAGUC